This 497-nucleotide ribosomal RNA is filed under the name uncultured bacterium. Its description in RNAcentral is "partial 16S ribosomal RNA". It matches the Rfam family "Bacterial small subunit ribosomal RNA", at positions 28 to 507 of the family's 1533-position model. The record is from RNAcentral.
GAUGAACGCUGGCGGCGUGCCUAAUACAUGCAAGUCGAGCGAACGGACGAGAAGCUUGCUUCUCUGAUGUUAGCGGCGGACGGGUGAGUAACACGUGGAUAACCUACCUAUAAGACUGGGAUAACUUCGGGAAACCGGGGCUAAUACCGGAUAAUAUUUUGAACCGCAUGGUUCAAAAGUGAAAGACGGUCUUGCUGUCACUUAUAGAUGGAUCCGCGCUGCAUUAGCUAGUUGGUAAGGUAACGGCUUACCAAGGCAACGAUGCAUAGCCGACCUGAGAGGAUGAUCGGCCACACUGGAACUGAGACACGGUCCAGACUCCUACGGGAGGCAGCAGUAGGGAAUCUUCCGCAAUGGGCGAAAGCCUGACGGAGCAACGCCGCGUGAGUGAUGAAGGUCUUCGGAUCGUAAAACUCUGUUAUUAGGGAAGAACAUAUGUGUAAGUAACUGUGCACAUCUUGACGGUACCUAAUCAGAAAGCCACGGCUAACUACGUG